RNAcentral lists this ribosomal RNA (253 nucleotides) under uncultured bacterium. RNAcentral describes it as "partial 16S ribosomal RNA". It matches the Rfam family "Bacterial small subunit ribosomal RNA", at positions 524 to 776 of the family's 1533-position model. The record is from RNAcentral.
UACAGAGGUCCCAAGCGUUGUUCGGAUUCACUGGGCGUAAAGGGUGCGUAGGCGGUCGGGUAAGUCUGAUGUGAAAUCUCACAGCUUAACUGUGAAACUGCAUUGGAUACUAUUCGGCUUGAGAGUUGGAGGGGGGACUGGAAUUCUUGGUGUAGCGGUGAAAUGCGCAGAUAUCAGGAGGAACACCGGUGUGGAAGGCGGGACUCUGGGCCGAUACUGACGCUGAGGAGCGAAAGCGUGGGGAGCAAACAGG